UGGUAGAUGCACCCUGGUUUGAACCCUAGAGACUUUUCUCUGGGGUUUUUUUAA
Molecule: small RNA, 54 nt
Organism: Oscillatoriales cyanobacterium
Lineage: Bacteria; Bacillati; Cyanobacteriota; Cyanophyceae; Oscillatoriales
Rfam family: Nitrogen stress-induced RNA 1
Source: Rfam